GUUAAGGUAGUUUAAUAAAAACAUUGAUUUGUGGUAUCAAAAAUAUAGAAUUGUUUAUCUUUGACC
Molecule: transfer RNA, 66 nt
Filed under: Bombylius sp.
Lineage: Eukaryota; Metazoa; Arthropoda; Insecta; Diptera; Bombyliidae
Description: tRNA-His
Source: RNAcentral